CGCUGAACUUAAGCAUAUCAUUAA
RNAcentral lists this ribosomal RNA (24 nucleotides) under Aporocotylidae sp. NSW1. RNAcentral's name for it is "partial 28S ribosomal RNA". Lineage: Eukaryota; Metazoa; Platyhelminthes; Trematoda; Strigeidida; Aporocotylidae. The record is from RNAcentral.